Long non-coding RNA from Girardinichthys multiradiatus, 500 nucleotides. RefSeq lists it as uncharacterized. The transcript is spliced from 3 exons. Lineage: Eukaryota; Metazoa; Chordata; Actinopteri; Cyprinodontiformes; Goodeidae. The record is from RefSeq and is a predicted model, not a curated record.
AAAAAAACACAGAGAGGCACAAAUUCUCAUCAAAUAGGAAGUCGGAAUAUCCGAGCUCCGAUUAGGAAAUUUAAUCUGGAACCUCCGCGAAAGUCUGAAUUAUGAGUCAGUUGUAGACGAACUACUUUCAGUGUUUAUAAGACGAGAUGUUUCAACGCUGUUUAUAUGCACGAAAUAGCGCGUAGAUCAGUGUUAUUGUUGUAAGGCUGCUGUUACAGUUGUUAUCAAUACGAACGAAAACAAGCAGGAAACUGGAACGCUACAACCCGGAAAUGACCCCAGAAGCGGGAGUGUUGAUAAAGCUGUAAGAGAGCUGCAGCAGCAGCAGUUGAUGAACUCUGGAAAGAAGUCCAGCAGCUUGAGGAACAUCUGGUCAAAGAAACUGGAGGGAAGCAGGAGCUCAAACAGCGGCAGGACGCAGCAGAGGAAGAGACACCAGAUGAUGGAUGAUGUUUUCCAGCCCAGAUUAGUGCUGCCAGCAGAUGUUAAAGAAGAGGCUC